Termitomyces sp. J132 is the source of this 89-nucleotide transfer RNA. It matches the Rfam family "tRNA". Rfam says of the family: Transfer RNA (tRNA) molecules are approximately 80 nucleotides in length. Their secondary structure includes four short double-helical elements and three loops (D, anti-codon, and T loops). Further hydrogen bonds mediate the characteristic L-shaped molecular structure. tRNAs have two regions of fundamental functional importance: the anti-codon, which is responsible for specific mRNA codon recognition, and the 3' end, to which the tRNAs corresponding amino acid is attached (by aminoacyl-tRNA synthetases). tRNAs cope with the degeneracy of the genetic code in two manners: having more than one tRNA (with a specific anti-codon) for a particular amino acid; and 'wobble' base-pairing, i.e. permitting non-standard base-pairing at the 3rd anti-codon position. NCBI's taxonomy places the organism in Eukaryota, Fungi, Basidiomycota, Agaricomycetes, Agaricales, Lyophyllaceae. The record is from Rfam.
GGUGAGAUGGCCGAGCGGUCUAAGGCGCCAGACUAAGGUAUUCUCAUCUGGUCUCUUCGGGGGCGGGAGUUCGAAUCUCCCUCUCAUCA